RNAcentral lists this long non-coding RNA (707 nucleotides) under Saimiri boliviensis boliviensis (Bolivian squirrel monkey). RNAcentral's name for it is "lncRNA (ENSSBOG00000036521.1)". The record is from RNAcentral. Lineage: Eukaryota; Metazoa; Chordata; Mammalia; Primates; Cebidae.
CCGGCCUCUCACCAAUGGCGUGAUUCAGACAGUGGGGUGGGGGUGGGGUUCACCCCCUUGGCUGCAGGCAACAGCUCCUGGGGAGAUUUCUAUAAACAUGGACUUAGAAGCCUCAUUCUCAUUCCCGUUUCUGACUUAAUCAUCAGGCGUGGAGUCUAGCAACAGGGCUGUUUACAACCUCGCAGACCCUCUCCUGUGCAGUCAGGGAUGGAAACCAUGUCUGAGACCGCACUGAACCGUGUCAGUGACCCCAACAGCACUGAAAGCCACCCAGCCUGAAGAACUGGGGCCCAGACACGGAGCCGGUCCACUGGCUGGUUGCUUCCACUUCCUCAUGGAGGACACGUGUCCUUUCCAGAUACAGCUCCCAAAGCAUCGCUCACCUCUACUGAAAGCCACCGUGGCACGUCUGUUACGGAGAGACUCCCGCCAAUGCAGAAAGACCUGUGUCUUCAAAGCCGGGAGGCCCUGCAAGAAUCAGAAGGGCAGGUCUUCUGCUGUGUCCGGAUAUUCUCACGGCCUAGAGAGAAACAGGUCUCUGUGGGUGACCAUGUCCACUCCUCCUCCCUCUGGCUCUGGCUGAAGGCUGCCUGGAGGGAAGGAGAAACAGGUCCUCACAGGCCAGACUCAGGGAUGGCUUCUCCUGGGCACAGACAGAGCGAUUCCCAGUUCCCAAAUUUUCCACGAUGAGCAACUGAUGUUCCAGC